Molecule: ribosomal RNA, 462 nt
Filed under: uncultured bacterium
Lineage: Bacteria
Description: partial 16S ribosomal RNA
Rfam family: Bacterial small subunit ribosomal RNA
Source: RNAcentral
CUACGGGCGGCUCCAGUGGGGAAUAUUGCACAAUGGGCGCAAGCCUGAUGCAGCCAUGCCGCGUGUAUGAAGAAGGCCUUCGGGUUGUAAAGUACUUUCAGCGGGGAGGAAGGGAGUAAAGUUAAUACCUUUGCUCAUUGACGUUACCCGCAGAAGAAGCACCGGCUAACUCCGUGCCAGCAGCCGCGGUAAUACGGAGGGUGCAAGCGUUAAUCGGAAUUACUGGGCGUAAAGCGCACGCAGGCGGUUUGUUAAGUCAGAUGUGAAAUCCCCGGGCUCAACCUGGGAACUGCAUCUGAUACUGGCAAGCUUGAGUCUCGUAGAGGGGGGUAGAAUUCCAGGUGUAGCGGUGAAAUGCGUAGAGAUCUGGAGGAAUACCGGUGGCGAAGGCGGCCCCCUGGACGAAGACUGACGCUCAGGUGCGAAAGCGUGGGAGCAAACAGGAUUAAUACCCUGGUAGUC